This 478-nucleotide ribosomal RNA is filed under the name uncultured bacterium. Its description in RNAcentral is "partial 16S ribosomal RNA". It matches the Rfam family "Bacterial small subunit ribosomal RNA", at positions 28 to 523 of the family's 1533-position model. The record is from RNAcentral.
GACGAACGCUGGCGGCGUGCUUAACACAUGCAAGUCGAACGGAAAGGCCCUUCGGGGUACUCGAGUGGCGAACGGGUGAGUAACACGUGGGUGAUCUGCCCUGCACUUUGGGAUAAGCCUGGGAAACUGGGUCUAAUACCGGAUAGGACUACGCGAUGCAUGUCGUGUGGUGGAAAGCUUUUGCGGUGUGGGAUGGGCCCGCGGCCUAUCAGCUUGUUGGUGAGGUUAUGGCUUACCAAGGCGACGACGGGUAGCCGGCCUGAGAGGGUGACCGGCCACACUGGGACUGAGAUACGGCCCAGACUCCUACGGGAGGCAGCAGUGGGGAAUAUUGCACAAUGGGCGCAAGCCUGAUGCAGCGACGCCGCGUGAGGGAUGACGGCCUUCGGGUUGUAAACCUCUUUCAGUAGGGACGAAGCGCAAGUGACGGUACCUAUAGAAGAAGGACCGGCCAACUACGUGCCAGCAGCCGCGGUAA